Molecule: ribosomal RNA, 479 nt
Filed under: uncultured Glomus
Lineage: Eukaryota; Fungi; Glomeromycota; Glomeromycetes; Glomerales; Glomeraceae
Description: SSU rRNA
Rfam family: Eukaryotic small subunit ribosomal RNA
Source: RNAcentral
AGCAGCCGCGGUAAUUCCAGCUCCAAUAGCGUAUAUUAAAGUUGCUGCAGUUAAAAAGCUCGUAGUUGAAUUUCGGGACUAAUAUGUCGGUCGUGCCUCGGUACGUACUGGUUUAUUGGUUUCUCCUUUCUGAAGAACCAUGAUGUCAUUUAUUUGGUGUCGUGGGGAAUCAGGACUGUUACUUUGAAAAAAUUAGAGUGUUUAAAGCAGGCUCACGCUUGAAUACAUUAGCAUGGAAUAAUGAAAUAGGACGUUUGAUUCUAUUUUGUUGGUUUCUAGAAUCGACGUAAUGAUUAAUAGGGAUAGUUGGGGGCAUUAGUAUUCAAUUGUCAGAGGUGAAAUUCUUGGAUUUAUUGAAGACUAACUACUGCGAAAGCAUUUGCCAAGGAUGUUUUCAUUAAUCAAGAACGAAAGUUAGGGGAUCGAAGGCGAUCAGAUACCGUCGUAGUCUUAACCGUAAACUAUGCCGACUAGGGAUC